GACGAACGCUGGCGGCGUGCUUAACACAUGCAAGUCGAGCGGUAAGGCCCUUUCGGGGGUACACGAGCGGCGAACGGGUGAGUAACACGUGGGUGACCUGCCCUCAGCUCUGGGAUAAGCCUGGGAAACCGGGUCUAAUACUGGAUAUGACUCCAUGACGCAUGUUGUGGGGUGGAAAGCCUUGUGCGGCUGAGGAUGGGCCCGCGGCCUAUCAGCUUGUUGGGGGGUGAU
Molecule: ribosomal RNA, 231 nt
Filed under: uncultured bacterium
Lineage: Bacteria
Description: partial 16S ribosomal RNA
Rfam family: Bacterial small subunit ribosomal RNA
Source: RNAcentral